AAUGGAUGGAUUUCAUUUUUGAAGGCAAUGUCCCGGAAAGAAUUGGCAAAAUUCUGUUUGUGUGCGCAAACCAUUUUGAAUUGGACUGUUUUGCCAACCUGGGUGAAUAUAACGCUGGACUCGCAACAAGAUUGACCUUGCAAGCGGGUUCAGUACCAUCUAUCCGUCGCAUUUCAGACGAGGGAAAUGGACACCAGCCUUCAGCAGAUUAGAGAAGGUGUUGACCAACAAGAGGGUUCUGAAAGAUGUGGGGAAGCUGAGCCCUCACUACCAGACCUCGUCGUUGGAGUCUUUCCACAGCGUCAUUCUGCGUUUUGCGCCCAAAAACGUAGUCUUUCCUUUUCUUGGAAUGUUAUGCAGACUCUACCUGGCAGUCCUGCAUUUCAAUGAAAAUGCUGGGCGUCCCCAAGCAACAAGUUCAGCUGGUGAGCCGCUAUUUAAAGUGAACUUCCCAAAAUACAAGAAGGGCGAGUGCACUGCAAAGCCGGUGAAAGCAGAGCCAACCUUCCGUGAGUCACAGGCUUUAUUUGAAAUUCCACCAAGUCAAACAAUGUACAAACAGUAUGUGAAACUUAAAUAACAUAUACAUUAACUGCUGUCUUUAAAUGGUCUUCAUAAUAAAUAGAAUAAUAUAAUUGCAAAA
This is a long non-coding RNA of Clupea harengus (Atlantic herring), 643 nucleotides long. RefSeq lists it as uncharacterized. The record is from RefSeq and is a predicted model, not a curated record. NCBI's taxonomy places the organism in Eukaryota, Metazoa, Chordata, Actinopteri, Clupeiformes, Clupeidae.